ACUUUAAUUGAAGAGUUUGAUCAUGGCUCAGAUUGAACGCUGGCGGCAGGCCUAACACAUGCAAGUCGAGCGGUAACAUUUCAAAAGCUUGCU
RNAcentral lists this ribosomal RNA (93 nucleotides) under Shewanella algae. Its description in RNAcentral is "partial 16S ribosomal RNA". It matches the Rfam family "Bacterial small subunit ribosomal RNA", at positions 1 to 93 of the family's 1533-position model. The record is from RNAcentral. Lineage: Bacteria; Pseudomonadati; Pseudomonadota; Gammaproteobacteria; Alteromonadales; Shewanellaceae.